UGGGGAAUCUUGGACAAUGGGCGCAAGCCUGAUCCAGCCAUGCCGCGUGGAUGAUGAAGGCCUUAGGGUUGUAAAAUCCUUUCGCCGAGGACGAUAAUGACGGUACUCGGAGAAGAAGCUCCGGCUAACUUCGUGCCAGCAGCCGCGGUAAUACGAAGGGGGCUAGCGUUGUUCGGAUUUACUGGGCGUAAGGGGCGCGUAGGCGGCUCGAUAAGUCGGAUGUGAAAUUCCGGGGCUCAACCCCGGAGCGGCAUUUGAAACUGUCGAACUAGAGUACAGUUAGGGUAAACGGAAUUCCACGUGUAGCGGUGAAAUGCGUAGAUAUGUGGAAGAACACCGGUGGUGAAGACGGUUUACUGGGCUGUAACUGACGCUGAGGCGCGAAAGCAUGGGGAGCAAACAGGAUUAGAUACCCCAGUAGUCCCUGAGCGGGCUGGCAAGGCGCAU
Molecule: ribosomal RNA, 447 nt
Filed under: uncultured bacterium
Lineage: Bacteria
Description: bacterial SSU rRNA
Rfam family: Bacterial small subunit ribosomal RNA
Source: RNAcentral